ACGUCUAAUUAAUUAAGUAAAUAUAUACCUUGGUUUUGUCAAAAUCAAUUUAUCGCAUUUGUAAUAAAAUCUGCAGCGAAUCCAUUUAUUCACAUUGGUAUAAUUGUGUCUCGUCAUUGAGAAUAGAUUUCGACAAGGAUUCACAGGUAGGAAAGAAGGUACUUACUUCCGGUUACUCUCUUUAAUGGUUAGCAGUGAUGUUUACGUGACGCGAUUGCCAAAGAUUCAUUCGACGAUGUUAUUGCCUCCUACGUCGUCGGAACAUCGAUAUUUGCGGUCGUUUCAACCGUGACGAGACUACGAAAAUUUCCAUUCCAUUGGCACAGUUUGGGAUGCAGUUAUCAGAAAAGGCACUGCUCACGCGAAGACUGAUUCGUAUGUUUCACCAAGCUGCCGAUGUCCUCCUUUGUAUUCAUUUCACCUUGGAUCCGUAUAUCUAUGUGCUGUUGAGGAUGCAACGACCACGAUUCCGCCUUUUAAAGCCCAUCUGCAAAUUCUGUUGGCCAGCCAGAAGCCGAUCGAGUUCGUUUACCGGUACCACAGAUCACCAGGGCAGCAGUGGUGAUCCGUCGACUCCGAUCACCGAGGCACCCUCUACGCCCGUCAGCGAGGAACACACUCCUCAAUUAGUAGCGGUUUCGGUCUGAGACAGGCUACAGCGAACGAUCUUCCUGAAACGGCUCAAGAGUCAAGAAGUUAGCCAGGUUUGAGCUAUACGUACUCUUCGAGAUCGUUGGAAGAUCUUCGCUUGGUGCAUUUUUAUCGCGCUGAACUUCGUCAAACUGUAAAUGACUGAAUGAUGCGUCGCAUCGUAUCAAUUGAAAUUUUUACGAUCUUCAUUGCGGCUGGUCUACUGAAAUAUUUAGGACAGCUUUCACUGUUUUUCCAAAUUUUUCAAACAGUCUUCUUCCUAAGGAGAAUCUUCAAAAUCAUUCGUGAAAAGACACCUCCAUAUCUAACUCAUUUUUCAUGUACAAUUUGUAUCGCGUGUUCGCAUUUUUCCUACUUGAUUUUUGCGUCUAUUUUAAAUAAUCUAAACCGCAUCUUAUGAACAACCUGAAUUAUAUGGUAAUUCUAGGAGAGGUGGGCCACGUUUUUAAAAACGGGUAAAAAUCAAAUAUUUUGGAAAUAUACGACAAAAAAUGCUUACUGAUGUGUUCCACAUAUGGCAGAUAGUGUAAGAAAUACUUGUAUGAUCCGUCUCUCCCAGAACUACUCUAUUAUUCUGGUUAUUGAUUUUCUAAUUUGUUUCAAUUCUGCAUUGAAGCUUUAAUGAUCUUUGAGUUGUCUUGAGAAGAGAAUAAGUAGCAUUCCAAAAAAAAAUGAUUAUCCUCGUCAUUUAUUGUUCUAAUAGACGUAUAAUUAUGUGUUAACUUAUAAAAAUAAAAAGCAUCCGUAAAAAUAUAGAAGACUCUACUCGUUUGCAGUUUGCAAGUGAGAGUAAGCAGUCGUUAAUGUAUUAUUCCCUGUUACGAGUGUUUUGGCAGGAAUUGUAAAAACUAUUCAUCUUAAACUUUUCAUUCAACGAAAGUAGAGAUUAUUAUUAAUUUGUUUUAACAAAGGUAUUAAAUAAAAUUGUCCAAGAAUGCAUUAUCCUAAGUGAAUCAACGAUAAAUCAUUUCAAGUUUCAUCAUAUAAACUACUGACAGUUGUAAAUGAAUGUCUAGUCAAUAAAUUAAUGCAAGUGUGCAGUAGUUACAAAAUAGAAGCAUAAUGAAUGGAUAUUUACCAAAGUAUUGAAUGUUAAAAUGUAUUUGCAUUGUACAAUUUACUUCUUUAAAUAGAAUUUAAGAGAGAAGCGAUAUAGUAUAUUUUUUUCUCGGAAAUAUAUACCCUGACGAGAAUACAUAUUGUACCAACAACUUUGUGAUGUACAUAUAACAAACAUUAUUAUAAAUUAUUACUUCAUUAUGGCAGCCGGUGUAAUUAAUAGCUGCAAAUAUAUAUUUACC
Molecule: long non-coding RNA, 1952 nt
Organism: Ceratina calcarata
Lineage: Eukaryota; Metazoa; Arthropoda; Insecta; Hymenoptera; Apidae
Exons: 3
Source: RefSeq, a predicted model, not a curated record